RNAcentral lists this ribosomal RNA (420 nucleotides) under bacterium. RNAcentral's name for it is "partial 16S ribosomal RNA". It matches the Rfam family "Bacterial small subunit ribosomal RNA", at positions 355 to 776 of the family's 1533-position model. The record is from RNAcentral.
UGGGGGAUAUUGCACAAUGGGCGAAAGCCUGAUGCAGCGACGCCGCGUGGGGGAUGAAGGCUUUCGGGUUGUAAACCUCUUUCGCUAUCAAACAAGGCCCGCUUAGGGUGGGUUGAGGGUAGGUGGAGAAGAAGCGCCGGCUAACUACGUGCCAGCAGCCGCGGUAAUACGUAAGGCGCGAGCGUUGUCCGGAAUUAUUGGGCGUAAAGGGCUUGUAGGCGGCUUGUUGCGCCUGCUGUGAAAACGCGGGGCUUAACUUCGCGCGUGCAGUGGGUACGGGCAGGCUUGAGUGUGGUAGGGGUGACUGGAAUUCCAGGUGUAGCGGUGGAAUGCGCAGAUAUCUGGAGGAACACCGAUGGCGAAGGCAGGUCACUGGGCCAUUACUGACGCUGAGGAGCGAAAGCAUGGGUAGCGAACAGG